This 256-nucleotide ribosomal RNA is filed under the name uncultured bacterium. RNAcentral describes it as "partial 16S ribosomal RNA". It matches the Rfam family "Bacterial small subunit ribosomal RNA", at positions 793 to 1055 of the family's 1533-position model. The record is from RNAcentral.
GUCCACGCCGUAAACGAUGGAUACUAGCUGUUGGGGGCAACUUCAGUGGCUAAGCGAAAGUGAUAAGUAUCCCACCUGGGGAGUACGUUCGCAAGAAUGAAACUCAAAAGGAAUUGACGGGGGCCCGCACAAGCGGUGGAGCAUGUGGUUUAAUUCGAUGAUACGCGAGGAACCUUACCAAGGCUUAAAUGUAGAUUGACCGGUUUGGAAACAGAUCUUUCGCAAGACAAUUUACAAGGUGCUGCAUGGUUGUCGU